This 627-nucleotide ribosomal RNA is filed under the name uncultured fungus. Its description in RNAcentral is "eukaryotic LSU rRNA". It matches the Rfam family "Eukaryotic large subunit ribosomal RNA", at positions 23 to 664 of the family's 3401-position model. Lineage: Eukaryota; Fungi. The record is from RNAcentral.
ACCCGCUGAACUUAAGCAUAUCAAUAAGCGGAGGAAAAGAAACCAACAGGGAUUACCUCAGUAACGGCGAGUGAAGCGGUAACAGCUCAAAUUUGAAAUCCGGCUCUUUCGGGGUCCGAGUUGUAAUUUGUAGAAGAUGCUUCGGGUGUGGCUCCGGUCUAAGUUCCUUGGAACAGGACGUCAUAGAGGGCGAGAAUCCCGUAUGUGACUGGCUGCCUCCGCCCAUGUGAAGCUCUUUCGACGAGUCGAGUUGUUUGGGAAUGCAGCUCAAAAUGGGUGGUAUAUUUCAUCUAAAGCUAAAUAUUGGCCAGAGACCGAUAGCGCACAAGUAGAGUGAUCGAAAGAUGAAAAGCACUUUGGAAAGAGAGUUAAGCAGUACGUGAAAUUGUUGAAAGGGAAGCGCUUGCAAUCAGACUUGCACGCUACCGAUCAUCCGGUGUUCUCACCGGUGCACUCGGUUGCGUUCAGGCCAGCAUCGGUUUGGGUGGUUGGAUAAAGGCCUUGGGAAUGUAGCUUCUUUCGGGGAGUGUUAUAGCCCUCGGUGCAAUGCAGCCUAUCCGGACCGAGGACCGCGCUUCGGCUAGGAUGCUGGCGUAAUGGUUGUAAGCGACCCGUCUUGAAACACGG